GUGCCAGCAGUCGCGGUAAAACGUAAAGGACAAGUAAUACACAUAAUAGGUAUAAAGAGUUAGCAAUACGGAUCUAUAUUUAACAAUGACCUAAUCCUCCCCCCAUCCUAAGGAUGGGGGGUAAGGGUGGGUAAAGUAAAAUAUGUAAAAGAUCUAGAAUCUAUAGAUGAGUUAUUAUGAGGUAUAUGAGUAGCGGUUAAAUGCGUAUAUACAUAUAUAACAACCAAUAAAGAAGUAAUAUAACUAAUACAUAGAUUGACGUUGAGUAACGAAACUUAGAGUAUCGAAUAGGACUAGUCAACCUAUUAGUUCUAAGCGUAAACGAUGUAUACUAAUAUUUAUAUUAAUAAUAAAAUAUGGAUAUAAAGCAAAUGCGUAAGUAUAUCACCAGGGGAGUACUGAUUAAUCGAAGAAACCCAAAACAAUAGACGGUUUGAGUGUUAACAGUGGAUUAUGUUAUUUAAU
RNAcentral lists this ribosomal RNA (465 nucleotides) under Blastobotrys arbuscula. RNAcentral's name for it is "partial small subunit ribosomal RNA". It matches the Rfam family "Bacterial small subunit ribosomal RNA", at positions 505 to 950 of the family's 1533-position model. Lineage: Eukaryota; Fungi; Ascomycota; Dipodascomycetes; Dipodascales; Trichomonascaceae. The record is from RNAcentral.